UGGGAUGCCCAUGAAAUAGACUGCUGUGGGCUCUUGUAUGUUGUUAAAGCUGUUUUCAUCCAGGCUUGUGAAGAGUAUUCCAACACACUCCUGACUGGAGCCCUGUAGAUGGUUACAGGCUUUGGAGAGUUAGGAGAUAUUGUCAUCAGCUGGCAUUUGUGUGUUACAAAUGUUACUUGCCUCCUAUCAUCCCAAACCCGGAUAUUGUCUAUGUCUUGCUGCAUUUGGAGGUGGACUGCUUUUUCCUCUGAGGAAAUGUGAAUGGUGCUGAACAUCCCUCAUUCUUACAUUUUCAUUGAAGGUAAGUUAUUGAUGAAGUAGCUGAAAAUGGUUGGGCCAAAGACAUCAUCCCGAGGAACUGAGACUGAGAUGAUUGAACUCCAACCACCGCAACCAUCUUCCUUCGUGCAAUGUAUGAUUUCAACCAGCAAAGGGUACUCCUUUCUGAGUCCAUUGAUUCCAUCUUAGCCAAGGCUCCUUGAUGCCAGACUCAAUCAAAUGCUGCUUUAAUGUCACGGGCAGUUAGUCCAGCCUCUGGAGUUCAGCUCUUUCACCCUCAUUAGGACAAAGUCUACCGAAGAACCAGGAGCUGAGUGACUUUGGAAGGAUGGAAUUUGCUUUUAUGUAAAAGGAUUACAGAUUUUGGAAGCCUGGUUGGUAGUUUGUAGAUGGGACACAUUGCAACUGUGCUGCUCCUGUGGUGGAGGGAAUGAACGUUUUCAGUUGUGGAUGGCUGCCAAACGAUUGAAUUGCUUAUCUUGGGUGAUGUCAAGAUUGUGUGUUAUUACACGCAUACAGAGAGGUGGAAGUUAUUUCUCUACAUUUUUAACUUGUGACUUUAGAUGGUGGAUCAGAACAGGAAAGUCCUGACAUGAAUAUUUGCUGAAGGACACAGAGCAUCAGACUUCUCUCUGUACAGGAUUUAUGUGUCUGUUCAGUGGUAAUUUCCAAAAGUUGAUGCUAGUUGACUUGGUGUUGACAAUGACAGAGAAUGUAAAGUGCAAAUGUUUAGACUCUCUCUUUGCAUUGGAAAUUGUCCAUCUCUGAAGGGAAUCAUCAAAUAUUCCUAUUUAGGACGACUGCAGCUGGAAUCUACAGUCAUAGAGGUAAUUUAGUAAGCAACAUUGUUUUCAGAUAUUUUAAAAAAUCUAUUAACCUUCAAAAUUGGUAGAGUCAGAACCACAGAUCACUCAGCAAGUGUUCGCAGUUUCCCUUUAAGAAAACACAGUCAUUGGAUUGGACUGUAGGUAAAACUGAAACACAGUGCUCUGAGGCUCCCACUCCCUACCAUCCUCCAAGUUAAAGUACAGUCUUUAGAAAUUAAAAUUGAAGACCUCAGAGCAAGAUUGCUGUACCAGAGUGACAUCGGGGGCUGCUGUGUACUUGGCUUCACUGAGAUAUGGCUCACUUCCAGUAUUCUAGAUACAGCGCUUCAGCCUGAGGGCUUCACCUUCCAUCACUGGGAUUGAACAGCAGUGUUAAGUAAAGGCAGAAGCCGUCAGAAGGCUAUCUUAAGAGUAGAAAUGCAAUUUUGUGUUAAAUUAAAGAUGCAAUUGAAUACAAGUCACCUAGAGCAGUCAAAGAAUAGAAAAGGUAAUACCUGGGAAAGGAGUCUCCACUGGCCUGGUUUUCCUUGUGAUCCUGACCUAAUCUCCAUGUGUCUGACAUGGAGUCUUCCACAUCCGUAAUGGUUGGUCUCUGUAGAGUUGUCGCUGCCUUGCAUUCGAGGCUCCUUACUUUUAAAUACUUCUUAUCAAUUCAAAUGUCGCAUUUCAAACCCAUCGGCUCAUGGUCAUCUGGCUGACCAUGUUCGCAAUGGAAGUAGCCCAAGGCUACAAGCAGUAUUGUUCUAUGGCCUUCGCCUGCCCUUUCAUUUCUUUGGUAACAACUUUUAUUCUAUUCAACUGUUGGUUAGAUUUGGGGCAUGUCACCAUCAUUGCAGCCUGGAUAUAUUGGCAGUCCAUAGCCUAUGUUGUGAUUGUGAUUAAGGAUCUCGGCCUGAAGUGUUGACUAUUUAUUCCCCUCCAUAGAUGCUGCCCGACUGCUGGAGUUUUCCAGCAUUUUGUGUGUGCUAUUCAAAAUUUCUAGCAUCUGCAGCAAUUCUUGUGGCUGUGACCAGUACACUGAGGCAACUUUUUAAUCUCAUUGAGUGAAUUGAAUUGUUGAAGGCUCUUUUUCCUUUGGUUGGACUGAUUAUUAGGAAGAAGCCAAAAUGGAUCAUCCACCCAGCACUUUGAAUAAUGAUAACUGAAAAUGCUUCAACUUUGGCAUUCACAUGAUAAACAUCACCAUUGUUCGGGGAGAAGCUUUUCAUGGAAUAUUUUCCCUCUCACUGCUUAACUGUACCACCACCUUCCACAAAUAGAUAUGGCAGGACUGCCAUUCGUUGGCCUACUCUUUUGACCACGGGAUUACUUAGCUCAGUCAAUUGCAUGCUGCAUUGAAGGGUUCAAUAUGUAUUAGACCUCCUGCUGCAGUUUCACCCGCUUAGUUUCUCUUGGCACUGGUCCUGGAUGCCUUCUUCUUGAAACAGGUGUAGUUCCUUGGUUUGAUGUUAAUGAUAGCCUAAGUGUUAUGCUAGAUCACGAGGUUACAGAUUGAGGUGAUAUAUAACUGUAGAACUAAUGUAAAAAACUUAUCAUAAUAGUUUUUAAAAUAUAAGUGGAUAAAUAUAUGAAGAUAAAAAUUGAUAGGACUCUCACUGAAAACUGAUAUAAGCAGGGUCAAAUUAAUUAUUCGUAUGCCAUGAAGCUCUGUGAUUCUUUAGAGCUGAGGGAGGUGUUAAACGAUGACAUAUCCCUUUGAGCCAUGAUUGGGGGCAAUCAUAAAAACCCUGACCUACAAUCCAACCUUGCAUUCCACAGAUGGUGCCUUUAUCAUCCCAGCAGUGCAGGUGCCAUUGUGUUCAGGCUAUUUGACCAUCUGUCUUCCUGCUUAUCUCUGCACCAUUUAAUCCUAUCCUUAACUAGGCAUUUAUUAAGCUCCAUUUUACUUGACUUAAUUGACUUGGCAUUAAAUAUCUUGCUUGCCAGAAAACCAUUACUUAAUGGGAAAAAAAUCUUCUUGAUUCUUACUUAAAAAUUAUCAAUUUGCAGGUAUGCCCUCUAGAGUUAUUCAAAUAGCCCAAAUUAAAUACCUUCUUUGUACUUAAUCAAUAACCAUUGACCUUUUUAAAGAUGAUUCAUACCCCUUUUCAAAGCUUAUGUGUUUCCUGGAAAAAUCAUUCUAAAUCUUUCUUAAUAAUUGUCUAGUUUGAUUUUUUCACUUAUUCUACAAACUGAGCUUAAAAACUUCUUUAUCCAAUAAAAAUAUUGUUGUUAUUCAUCUAAGAACUUGGCUUGUUAAUGAAUAGAAUACUGCCAGGAACAAUGAUCAGAUUUGAAUUCGUUCCAUAAGUCUAUAGCUUUGAUUUAUCAAAUAUCCUCUGAAAAUGAAAGGAAAUUACUAUCAAUUGAAACAAGCCGUCCUGCAACUUAGUUACUGCCACAAUUAUUUUUUAAUUUGAUUUUGAAGCAUGACCUAUUGCUUCUAAAUUGAUGCUGACAUUGUCUUAUGGUGUCCGUAUUUUUUAAAUGAAUAUUAACAGAUUCCUGACAAAUGUUUGUGAAACAAUUUUCCUGUUACUGGUCUGCUGACCAAAUGAUGUGUAACUGGCUGUUUUGUGUCAUAUUUCUUUUAGCAGCACCAGAGAAAGAAUUCAUCAAUGUCCAGAUACAUCCCUUAAAGUUUUCUAACAGCAGAUAUUUGGCUCUGAAAUGAAGACCAGAUCUUUGCAUUGAUCAACCUUUAAGAGAACUUUAAUAUUUUAAGGCAUUUUUGCAGAGUUUUCACGGAUCAGUGUCAUUAUCAUCACAGCAUCAAAAUACUGAAUUUAAGUUAAAAUGAAAUGACAACAAGUAUCAUCCCUGAAGAAGAUGACAGAGUCUGUCAUCAGAACGCCGGUUAUCAUUGAUACCCAUACCCGGCUGGAAGCCCAAGAAGAGUUUAUUCAUCAUAUACGCCGGGAAGGCACUAGAUCCUUUCCCAAAGAGUCCAAAUUCAAUUCUGCA
This is a long non-coding RNA of Mobula hypostoma (lesser devil ray), 4049 nucleotides long. RefSeq lists it as uncharacterized. NCBI's taxonomy places the organism in Eukaryota, Metazoa, Chordata, Chondrichthyes, Myliobatiformes, Myliobatidae. The transcript is spliced from 3 exons. The record is from RefSeq and is a predicted model, not a curated record.